CUUAGCUCAGUUGGUUAGAGCGGCUGACUGUUAAUCAGUAGGUCGUAGGUUCGAGUCCUACAG
RNAcentral lists this transfer RNA (63 nucleotides) under bovine gut metagenome. It matches the Rfam family "tRNA", at positions 6 to 65 of the family's 71-position model. From Rfam's summary of the family: Transfer RNA (tRNA) molecules are approximately 80 nucleotides in length. Their secondary structure includes four short double-helical elements and three loops (D, anti-codon, and T loops). The record is from RNAcentral.